This 995-nucleotide ribosomal RNA is filed under the name uncultured organism. RNAcentral describes it as "bacterial SSU rRNA". It matches the Rfam family "Bacterial small subunit ribosomal RNA", at positions 356 to 1376 of the family's 1533-position model. The record is from RNAcentral.
GGGGAAUAUUGCACAAUGGGGGAAACCCUGAUGCAGCGACGCCGCGUGGAGGAAGAAGGUCUUCGGAUUGUAAACUCCUGUUGUUGAGGAAGAUAAUGACGGUACUCAACAAGGAAGUGACGGCUAACUACGUGCCAGCAGCCGCGGUAAAACGUAGGUCACAAGCGUUGUCCGGAAUUACUGGGUGUAAAGGGAGCGCAGGCGGGAAGACAAGUUGGAAGUGAAAUCUAUGGGCUCAACCCAUAAACUGCUUUCAAAACUGUUUUUCUUGAGUAGUGCAGAGGUAGGCGGAAUUCCCGGUGUAGCGGUGGAAUGCGUAGAUAUCGGGAGGAACACCAGUGGCGAAGGCGGCCUACUGGGCACCAACUGACGCUGAGGCUCGAAAGUGUGGGUAGCAAACAGGAUUAGAUACCCUGGUAGUCCACACCGUAAACGAUGAUUACUAGGUGUUGGAGGAUUGACCCCUUCAGUGCCGCAGUUAACACAAUAAGUAAUCCACCUGGGGAGUACGACCGCAAGGUUGAAACUCAAAGGAAUUGACGGGGGCCCGCACAAGCAGUGGAGUAUGUGGUUUAAUUCGACGCAACGCGAAGAACCUUACCAAGUCUUGACAUCCUGCGACGAUGCUGGAAACAGUAUUUUCCUUCGGGACGCAGAGACAGGUGGUGCAUGGUUGUCGUCAGCUCGUGUCGUGAGAUGUUGGGUUAAGUCCCGCAACGAGCGCAACCCUUACUGUCAGUUACUACGCAAGAGGACUCUGGCAGGACUGCCGUUGACAAAACGGAGGAAGGUGGGGAUGACGUCAAAUCAUCAUGCCCUUUAUGACUUGGGCUACACACGUACUACAAUGGCGUUAAACAAAGAGAAGCAAGACCGCGAGGUGGAGCAAAACUCAGAAACAACGUCCCAGUUCGGACUGCAGGCUGCAACUCGCCUGCACGAAGUCGGAAUUGCUAGUAAUCGCGAAUCAGAAUGUCGCGGUGAAUACGUUCCCG